GUUUGUGACAUAGAUAUAUUCAGAUAUACAUUCAGCAUUAAACACAUUUGGGGGAAAAAGGCAAAAAUGAAAUUUAACAGAAUAUUCAUAUUCAGACUUGAGCCACGCCUCUUUCUUUUUUUUCCUCCAGGGAAGCUAUUCUUUUUUUGUGUGUUUUCAUUGAAGUAGUUUUGUUUCUGCAUUAGUUCUUCUUUCUUUCUGAAGGUCUUUAAGGCCUUUUAGUUUUCUUUCUUUGGACAUUGGCUGGUUUCUUCACUCAUUCUCAGUCCCGUCUUUGCACCUCACCAGGUUUCUUUUGUCUUGUUUUGUUUGUUUGUUAAGCCAAAGCACUGACCUAUAAAUCAUUUAAGCACCAAAGAAACCAAAAUCAGUGGAUGAACCAGUGUUGUGCAUACACAUAACAGUAAGCAAAUAAUCCAUUUGAAAAUGUAUCUUUGGGUAAUUUGUUACCAACAACCUGUCAACAAAACAUAAUUGGUUCCCAUUUCUUGCCAAAGAUAAAACAGUUUGAAAAAAAAAAAUACUAUUUUCUGACCAUCAAGGCGAUUCCCAAAAAACUAUUAGCUAAAAAUGUCACAUCUUGGCAGGGUGUGUGUUAUGUUCUUUUAAAAAAAAAUUGGAAACUGGACAAGUAGAGGACAAAAGAAGUGUCAGGCCUAAAAAGCAAACUACAGCAGAUUGCACAUGGUCCUUCAUUUGAUCCAUCUACUGUUCGCUGAAUCUUCAUCACAAAUGGUCUUGGUGGAAGGGUGACUGAUGUGAAUUCCUUCUUAAGAAAGGAAAAUAGGGAGAAAAGACUGAGGUAUGCCAAAGUAGAAAAGAACUUGACCAGACACACCAGGAAAAAAUAAAUAAAAAAUAAAAAUCAGGAAAAAAAUAAAUCAUUGCCCCCAUUUGAGAUUUUUCUAGCAAAACAUUAGGAAAUAUGAGGUGGCUCAACAUUUUUGCACAAAUUUAAAAUCUAAAAAGCAACAUGCACAUCCUCUAAAUGUUAUGCAUAUUUGACCUCAUUACUCAACUGUUGUAAAUUACUAACUUCCAAACAUUUCUACCCAAAACCAUAAGAGAGCCUCUUUAGGCUGUUUAUCUCUCUAGAAACUGGAUUCGCUUUGACUGCAGUACUAAGGAUUACUAUACCUUUAAAAGCAAAUUUAAAGAACUUUAUUUUUAUGGUAGACUUGUUACAAAUCCACCCACAAAUUAAUCAGAAUUCAAAAGAAAAAUACUUAUUUUACUUGAGAUCAAGCUAUCGUCUGGCUUGACCUAAGAACCAAAUGUUUG
Long non-coding RNA from Astatotilapia calliptera (eastern happy), 1281 nucleotides. NCBI's taxonomy places the organism in Eukaryota, Metazoa, Chordata, Actinopteri, Cichliformes, Cichlidae. The record is from Ensembl.